GACGAACGCUGGCGGCGUGCUUAACACAUGCAAGUCGAACGGUAAGGCCCUUCGGGGUACACGAGUGGCGAACGGGUGAGUAACACGUGGGUGAUCUGCCCCGCACUUCGGGAUAAGCCUGGGAAACUGGGUCUAAUACCGGAUAGGACCACUGCCUACAUGGGUGGUGGUGGAAAGCUUUUGCGGUGUGGGAUGGGCCCGCGGCCUAUCAGCUUGUUGGUGGGGUAAUGGCCUACCAAGGCGACGACGGGUAGCCGGCCUGAGAGGGUGACCGGUCACACUGGGACUGAGAUACGGCCCAGACUCCUACGGGAGGCAGCAGUGGGGAAUAUUGCACAAUGGGCGCAAGCCUGAUGCAGCGACGCCGCGUGAGGGAUGACGGCCUUCGGGUUGUAAACCUCUUUCAGCUAUGACGAAGCGCAAGUGACGGUAGUAGCAGAAGAAGGACCGGCCAACUACGUGCCAGCCGCCGCGGUAA
Molecule: ribosomal RNA, 478 nt
Filed under: uncultured bacterium
Lineage: Bacteria
Description: partial 16S ribosomal RNA
Rfam family: Bacterial small subunit ribosomal RNA
Source: RNAcentral